This 549-nucleotide long non-coding RNA is filed under the name Androctonus crassicauda. Lineage: Eukaryota; Metazoa; Arthropoda; Arachnida; Scorpiones; Buthidae. The record is from RNAcentral.
GUCACACAUUCGCACAGAGUGUGAAGAGGGGUUUCCUCCUCAGGAUGACAUCUUUGACGCAUGGGACUGUCGCUGGGUCUAAUCGAGUGGGGAUGUCUUCUGGGAUGGCGGUGCCCUGUGGGGGGUCCUGUGACGGUCCUAACUUCCUGCUUGUUCGGAGGGGGCAGCUCCUUGGUUUGCUGAGCUGAGCAUACGGGGACGGGAGCCUUUGUCUGCCUUGGUCCGGAGCUGGACCUCCGGGGGGUGGGGUGCUGGGCUGCCGGACAGUCCCUGACGGCCUGCCCAAGGGCAUCCAAAUCAAUGCCCAGGACAAGGCUCGGGUCCGGGAGGGGGGCGGGGGGCCCCUUCCCUGGCGGGCCUAUCAGCGGCCUCAUUGCCUCCAGUCCCCUUGUGCCCCGGCGCCCGGGCGGGCCCCGCCCUGUUCUUGGUGGCCGGUUCCUCGGUGGGAGGGGGACAUUCCCGGGCGGGCUUUGGAACAAGAUGGGAACUGUCAAGUGCUUUGGCAGCGGCCUGUCGGAUAGGAUAGGGAUGUGCUUACCAGCAUGGUCC